GAUAAGUGGCUUGUGGCAGCCAAGUGUUCAUAGCGACGUUGCUUUUUGAUCCUUUGAUGUCGGCUCUUCCUAUCAUACCGAAGCAGAAUUCGGUAAGCAUUGAGUUGUUCACCAACUAAUAGGGAACGUGAGCUGGGUUUAGACUGUCGUGAGACAGGUU
This 160-nucleotide non-coding RNA is filed under the name Pyrenochaeta sp. DS3sAY3a. RNAcentral describes it as "Eukaryotic large subunit ribosomal RNA". It matches the Rfam family "Eukaryotic large subunit ribosomal RNA", at positions 2825 to 2984 of the family's 3401-position model. The record is from Rfam by way of RNAcentral. Lineage: Eukaryota; Fungi; Ascomycota; Dothideomycetes; Pleosporales; Cucurbitariaceae.